This 240-nucleotide unclassified non-coding RNA is filed under the name soil metagenome. RNAcentral's name for it is "partial contains 5.8S ribosomal RNA, internal transcribed spacer 2, and large subunit ribosomal RNA". The record is from RNAcentral.
AACGCACGAGACCUGCGGACCUGCGGAAGGAUCAUUAUUGAAUGUACUUGAUAGGUCUGUAGCUGGUCCUUUGGGGGCAUGUGCACGGCCUAUCUUGGUUUUAUUCAUCCACCUGUGCACCUUUUGUAGUCUUUAUUGGGUCAAUGAACAGUUAACUCAGUCGUGAGGCUGGAAAUGAGGACUAGCUUUGCCACUCCUUGGCUUUUAAGCCUUCCUCUGUUCUGUGAACUUUCCCUCCAA